This 253-nucleotide ribosomal RNA is filed under the name uncultured bacterium. RNAcentral's name for it is "partial 16S ribosomal RNA". It matches the Rfam family "Bacterial small subunit ribosomal RNA", at positions 524 to 776 of the family's 1533-position model. The record is from RNAcentral.
UACGUAGGGUGCAAGCGUUGUCCGGAAUUAUUGGGCGUAAAGAGCUCGUAGGCGGUUUGUCGCGUCUGCUGUGAAAACUCGGGGCUUAACUGCGGGCCUGCAGUGGGUACGGGCAGACUAGAGUGCGGUAGGGGAGACUGGAAUUCCUGGUGUAGCGGUGAAAUGCGCAGAUAUCAGGAGGAACACCGGUGGCGAAGGCGGGUCUCUGGGCCGUAACUGACGCUGAGGAGCGAAAGCGUGGGGAGCGAACAGG